RNAcentral lists this long non-coding RNA (203 nucleotides) under Oryza brachyantha (malo sina). RNAcentral's name for it is "long non-coding RNA (OBRA_LNC001597)". The record is from RNAcentral. Lineage: Eukaryota; Viridiplantae; Streptophyta; Magnoliopsida; Poales; Poaceae.
AACCAUAUGAGCCUUGCUCAUUGCUCCCAUAAUUGAUAGUGGAGUGUGACAUUGUUUGGUGAUUUUUCCCUAAUAAAUUUGUUGCAGGGGCAAUUUACUAUUUUUGAGAAAAUACUUUAUGUAUACUAAAAUUUACACUUAAAAUUUUAGUAUCUUAAAAUAUAAAGUAACUGAUGCAUCAAAUUUACACUAGAAAAUAUGAU